UUUCCUAAGUGCUAGAGUUGGUAAGAGGCUGGAUCAGCUCACGGGUUCUCCUGUCCUCAGGGUCAGCUAUCCCACCUGCCAAAGAAGAUAUGAUGUUAAUAUCCAUGCAAUCCGAUUGCACAGAAUCAGCUGGCUCAUAUUAAUACCUAGGACUUGGCGGGACAGAAAUUUCCUUCUAUAAGACAAAGCAACUCAUAUUUGAAAGACAAGUGAGCCUAAGAGAAAAGGAAAUUCUAUAAGGGUUACAGAACCAUGUCAAAGCAAGAGGAUAAAGAUGCUCAUGAUUCAUUUGGCUUCCAAGGAGAUUUUCCUGAUAACAUCACUUAAGCAGCAGCCAUCACUCCACUUCAGAGUAUGCAAUGAAGAUAAGCUGUCAUGUGUCAUGUCUCCUUCAGGACAAUUUGAUAUUCACUGUGUUGGUGUUAACAGAGCAUAUAUGCAAAGAUGUUCAUCUUGGAAUGAAGAAAUGUAUAUAUUGAAAUAUGACACAAACUAAUUAGAAACUUGUCCUUCCACCAGCCACUGUGACCUUGACACUUAGAUUUUUCAAUGUGUCAGAUAUGCAAAAUAACUGAAACUUCUGUUUUAGUAAAGACAUUG
Long non-coding RNA from Mesocricetus auratus (golden hamster), 600 nucleotides. RefSeq lists it as uncharacterized. NCBI's taxonomy places the organism in Eukaryota, Metazoa, Chordata, Mammalia, Rodentia, Cricetidae. The transcript has 4 exons. The record is from RefSeq and is a predicted model, not a curated record.